Dama dama (fallow deer) is the source of this 73-nucleotide non-coding RNA. The record is from the annotation of a RefSeq genome assembly. NCBI's taxonomy places the organism in Eukaryota, Metazoa, Chordata, Mammalia, Artiodactyla, Cervidae.
UCCCUGAUGGUCCAGUGGUUAAGACUCUGCACUCCCACUGAAGGGGGCUUGGGUUCGAUCCCCGGUCAAGGAA